GCCGGGCGUGGUGGCGGGCGCCUGUAAUCCCAGCUACUUGGGAGGCUGAGGCAGGAGAAUCACUUGAACCCAGGAGGCAGAGGUUGCAGUGAGCCGAGAUCAUGCCACUGCACUCCAGCCUGGGCAACAAAGCGAGACUCUGCUUUAA
Unclassified non-coding RNA from Pongo abelii (Sumatran orangutan), 148 nucleotides. It matches the Rfam family "Metazoan signal recognition particle RNA". Rfam says of the family: The signal recognition particle (SRP) is a universally conserved ribonucleoprotein. The record is from Ensembl. Lineage: Eukaryota; Metazoa; Chordata; Mammalia; Primates; Hominidae.